GACGAACGCUGGCGGCGUGCUUAACACAUGCAAGUCGAGCGGUAAGGCCCUUUCGGGGGUACACGAGCGGCGAACGGGUGAGUAACACGUGGGUGACCUGCCCUCAGCUCUGGGAUAAGCCUGGGAAACCGGGUCUAAUACUGGAUAUGACUCCAUGACGCAUGUUGUGGGGUGGAAAGCCUUGUGCGGCUGAGGAUGGGCCCGCGGCCUAUCAGCUUGUUGGUGGGGUGAUGGCCUACCAAGGCGACGACGGGUAGCCGGCCUGAGAGGCGACCGGCCGCACUGGGACUGAGACACGGCCCAGACUCCUACGGGAGGCAGCAGUGGGGAAUCUUGCGCAAUGGGCGAAAGCCUGACGCAGCGACGCCGCGUGAGGGAUGACGGCCUGGUGUAAC
Molecule: ribosomal RNA, 395 nt
Filed under: uncultured bacterium
Lineage: Bacteria
Description: bacterial SSU rRNA
Rfam family: Bacterial small subunit ribosomal RNA
Source: RNAcentral